UAAUACGGAGGGUGCAAGCGUUAAUCGGAAUUACUGGGCGUAAAGCGCGCGUAGGCGGUUUGGUCAGUCAGAUGUGAAAGCCCCGGGCUCAACCUGGGAACUGCAUUUGAUACUGCCAAACUAGAGUGUGGGAGAGGUAAGUGGAAUUCCGGGUGUAGCGGUGAAAUGCGUAGAUAUCCGGAGGAACAUCAGUGGCGAAGGCGGCUUACUGGACCAACACUGACGCUGAGGUGCGAAAGCGUGGGUAGCAAACAGGAUUAGAUACCCUGGUAGUCCACGCCGUAAACGAUGUCAACUAGCCGUUGGACCUAUUUAAAGGUUUAGUGGCGCAGCUAACGCGAUAAGUUGACCGCCUGGGGAGUACGGCCGCAAGGUUA
Molecule: ribosomal RNA, 377 nt
Filed under: uncultured bacterium
Lineage: Bacteria
Description: bacterial SSU rRNA
Rfam family: Bacterial small subunit ribosomal RNA
Source: RNAcentral